Molecule: long non-coding RNA, 1713 nt
Filed under: Olea europaea (common olive)
Lineage: Eukaryota; Viridiplantae; Streptophyta; Magnoliopsida; Lamiales; Oleaceae
Description: long non-coding RNA (OEUR_LNC000455)
Source: RNAcentral
UGCAACAAAUUAAAGGUUUGAGGAAAGUUUGCUAAUAUUUCUGCUGCAAUUUUCCCUAAAUAAAUGUAAGUGAUAAGCUUUAUGAUAUUUAUAUGCUUUUCUAAAGAUUUUUGUAUUUUCAAUUUUUAUUAAUUUCCUAUUUGCUUAUUGAUAAUUCUAUUUUAAAGAAUUUCAUAAACAAUUUUUUUUUCUUUAACCAAUUAACUUUAUGUAAUUUGGAACCUUUAUCAAAGUGAGGUUUUAAGCGAUCGCCUAUCCCACCUAUAGUCAGGGAUGCCAUUGUGUAAAUGCUCAACAAGAUGUACAUUAUAAUUUUCACCUUAUUCUUCUAGAUUCCCAUAACAUGGCAUCCACAAGCUUAUUUUUAUGCUUUCCAUUGGGCACACCAGCGUUCUUCCAAAAAUAGUAUUCAUACUAAUGGCUUAUGCUUUUACACAUGUUUUGCACUCUAUUUUGGAAAGACAAUUAGUCAUUUCCGAAUCCAUUAAGAACAAAACAAAGAAAAGUACCAAUCAAUUUGUCGGACAACAAUACAUUUUGUGUAACUUUUUCGAUUAAUUCAAGAUUUAAAAAUAGGAAAACAAAAAUAGUUGAAAGAUUAAGAUUAGGUAUUUAGCACGAUUUUACAAAAAAAUAAAAAUGUAUCGUGUUUGUUUCUCAAAAUGAUAUAAAAAGUGUAAAUGCUCAAAAUAUUUGGGAAAAUAUUAAAAAUAGAUUUUGGGGAAAAAUGUAUUCUGGAAUGAUGAUUUUUAAGAAAAUGUAUAAUUAAAAAAUAAGAAAAAAGUCAUAAAUUUACGUAUAAUAUUAUUUUAUUGUAAAAUGUGUGAAUAAUAAUGAAAAAGAAAAAGUGUAUUUUUUUCCUUUUAAAAUGGAGUCCAAACAGGAGCAUAUUUUUUUUUUUUUUUUUUUUUUACAAGGUGUCCGGGCUUGCGUCCGACUAGAUCCUUGUCCCUGAACCUCCGGCCCCUCAGCAGUUCAGGGAGGUAAAUCGCAGGAUGUGCCCUUAUUGGCUCCCAGGUUUCCACAACUCAUUUGGACUCCUUCCGCAAAGAGAGCUCUCCUCGCUGGGCGUUUGUUCAACCAAAUGGCUUCCCCUCCAUUUUAGCACCCAGUGUUAACUCCAGGAAUCGAACUCUCCACCCUUGCUUCCAGCGUCCCAGCGAAGUGAUUGUUCCACCAAUUCGGAUGUGCCCUGGGGGGCUGGAGCAUAUUUUCUUUAUUAUGAAAGGAUGUAGAAUCAAUAAAACCUUCUUUUCAUUCGAAAGUAGUUAUCUUCUUUAAAUUAUAAAUUUAUUCUACAAGAGAAUCAUGAAUGGAGGGUUUUACAUCCUUUCCGUUCGUCUCAUUGACCUUUAAGAAUGAGUGAAUUUUUCUCUGAUCCAAAUUUUCUAUGGACAGAUUUCAUUGAGUCAGACGUUUCAAUAACGUCAUAAAGGAGGUGGGAAGGACAGCUUGUCUAAUAUAUAGUAUGCAGCAUGUAUUGACGAUAGUUGGAGUUGACGCUUCUCUCAUGGUUCCUCAUUUGAGACCCUUAAGAGGAUCAAACUGGUUAAUCGAGUGCACAUAUUAAACAUGAUCACGUAUAAACGAUGGACUUCUUUAUGGUCUUUUGGGCAAUUUUUGAAGAGAAUUAUGCAUUUUAACUUGAAUAAUGCUAUUUGGUAUCACUGAUACUAAAACAACUUAGGUAAUAAUACUAUGGGAUUAAAUGAG